This 627-nucleotide ribosomal RNA is filed under the name Hepatozoon canis. RNAcentral's name for it is "SSU rRNA". It matches the Rfam family "Eukaryotic small subunit ribosomal RNA", at positions 208 to 823 of the family's 1831-position model. Lineage: Eukaryota; Apicomplexa; Hepatozoidae. The record is from RNAcentral.
UAUUAGAUAAAAAGCCAGUUCAUGCUUUUACAGUAUGAAAAUUGGUGAUUUAUAAUAACUUAGCAAAUCGCAAAGUGAAAACAGGCGAUAAAUCAUUCAAGUUUCUGACCUAUCAGCUUUCGACGGUAUGGUAUUGGCUUACCGUGGCAGUGACGGUUAACGGGGGAUUAGGGUUCGAUUCCGGAGAGGGAGCCUGAGAAACGGCUACCACAUCUAAGGAAGGCAGCAGGCGCGCAAAUUACCCAAUUCUAACAGUUUGAGAGAGGUAGUAACAAGAAAUAACAAUACAAGGCAGUUAAAAUGCUUUGUAAUUGGAAUGAUAGAAAUUUAAACCCUUUUUAAAGUAUCAAUUGGAGGGCAAGUCUGGUGCCAGCAGCCGCGGUAAUUCCAGCUCCAAUAGCGUAUAUUAAAAUUGUUGCAGUUAAAAAGCUCGUAGUUGAAGUUCUGCUGAAAGUAACCGGUCUGCUUUUAAUAAAAGUGGUAUCUUGGUAUGUAUUUAGCAAUGAUGUCCUUUGAAGUGUUUUUUACUUUAUUGUAAUAAAGCAUAUUCAGGACUUUUACUUUGAGAAAAUUAGAGUGUUUCUAGCAGGCUAACGCUUUGAAUACUGCAGCAUGGAAAUAAUAAGA